UGAGUCCCAGGAGAGGGAGCUGCUAGGAAGACCGGGAUUUCCAUCUCUCGCUCCGUUACACCAAGCUCACUCCAGCAACAGCUCACACCCUGUUAGUAAAGCUCAGCAGAAGGUAUGGUGACAUUUCUGAAGCAUUUACUUUGAGCCUUAAUGAACCAGUGACCAGUGCAGGGAAUGGCAGCUUCUUGCAUCCUUACAGCACAGAUGCCUUCUUGUGCCUGUUUGAGGGAUUCUACCAACAGCGAAUCUGUCACUGAAUCGGCUUAGGAAGAAUGAUUCACAGCCUUUAUCCUGAGCCUCUUUAGCUCCUGGACAUAGCGGGCAUUUCCCACCCCCUUUAAUCUCUCCUGACCACCAUUUCACGGAGGACCUGCGCACUCCUUGGGUCACUCCUGUCAGUCACCAUGGGAUGUGUGAUGUGUUCUCCCCUGCUGGAAGUGUGGAGCCUCUCCUGGAAGGAGCGCCGGAGGAGGAAUUGCAUGGAGCUGUCUCUGUUCCCCAGCUCGUGUCUCUCGCAGUACCAGCGGGUGUCGGGGUUGCAUUACCUGUCCUCCUUCUCGGAGGCAGAGGACUGUUGUGAGGAGAGUUCCGCAUCUGGAGACUCCGACUCUGAGACGACUUGAGUGCAGACGAUGCAACAUGAAACCACGGAAAACUGAACUGGAUUGCUUGUGUUAAAUCAAUCUCCUUGUGUGAUAUUUUUACUGCAGAAACAGGUCUCCCCCCCUUUGUUUUUCUUCCCUCGUACUUAAAACGACAACCAAAUGCAAGUGAAGAAGAAAUUAGCCAGGCUUUUGGGUUUGAUUGCUGUCCUGUAGUUUGGCUACGAUAUCAAUCAUAGCUAUGUAACCAGCUGGCUUUGAGAGUAGGCAGGAACUGCAGAUGCUGGUUUAAACCAAAGAUAGACACAAAAAGCUGGAGUAACGCAGUGGGACAGGCAGCAUCUCUGGAGAUGACCCGAAAUGUCAUCCAUUCCUUCUCUCCAGAGAUGCUGCCUGUCCCGCUGAGUUACUCCAGCUUUUUGCCUCUAUCUUUGGCUUUUAGAGUGUUCCUUUCUGGUGUAAGAGUGUCUCAAACCUUGCAUGAGUUAAGCUGGGUGAACAGCUUUCCAAGAGUCUUUGGAGUGGAGUGGCAGUACAAGCAAAAGAAGGACAUAGUGAAUGGACACUAGUUGAGACUUGCAUACAGGCUCAGGCCAUUUGGAUCACUGGAUUAGAUCAAUUGUGCACAACUCUCAGCUUGCAAAGUCACACACAGCCUAAUCGACACUUCCAAGCAAUAACUGGUACAAAACAUUUGUAACACACAAACACAGAGGGUAAGUUGGAUGGAUGCAGCCCAUAACCUGUUGAGACCCUCAGCAAUGGCGACUUUGACAAGUAGUUUGAGAACCAUCGAGUAUAAUGAAGACCGAUCCACUUCUGAACUCUAUCCAGCCACCUUGACUCUCGUAUCUAAAUGCCCCGUUACUCUCUCCAGAAUGAAAAGAACGACUAAAUUCCAAUAAAUAAACAGGUCAAUUAUCUAAGAUAUUAAAUGAUUUACUUGUUUGUUUUCUACCCUUUCCAAAUAUUCGAUUUGUCACUUUCCCAUUCAAGGGAUCAGUUUCCUGAAUCACAAAACACAAGGAGAAUUUGGACAGAUGCAUCAACAAUCUCCUCACCUUGUAGUAUCUUGCAUGGAAAUCCUUUGGUCUGAAAAGGGUUUCUAUCUAAAUUGUUUUUAUCAUACAAGUUAAUUUGGCUUUGUGCUUUUGUUGGACUGGCAGUUUUAUCUGAUUGGAGGAUUAGACAGUGGUGCAAUACUGCUUUCAUCAACUUAAAGCUAUAAGCCUGGACGUAUCCCUGCCAGCAGAGUCCGUGUGUGUGUGAUCUAAUAUAAAAAGCAGCAAUGAAUACAUUCUGGUCAUUAUGACUGGAUUAAGCUGCACCACUUGUCAGUCAACAGGUUAGUAUUGAAUACUAAUAUCAUUAAAGGGUUAAUUGUGGACUCCUUGUCAAUUCAUUUACAACUGAAGAAGUCCCCAAAGUAAUUGGCUCAAAGUCCUAAAAAUUCUUAAAUAUCAGAAGUGAUCUAAAGAUGAAAUAAUGUUGAAAUGGUGUAAUGUGUUCAUAAUACUUAAUAAAAGUUUACCACUAUU
Long non-coding RNA from Amblyraja radiata (thorny skate), 2140 nucleotides. RefSeq lists it as uncharacterized. The transcript is spliced from 2 exons. NCBI's taxonomy places the organism in Eukaryota, Metazoa, Chordata, Chondrichthyes, Rajiformes, Rajidae. The record is from RefSeq and is a predicted model, not a curated record.